AAAGAUCCAUACGAUUACCCAUUCGGGGGGGAAAAAACAUACUAUUACAACAUAAAAAAAAAAAAAAAAUUGCAUGAAAUCGAGGGUGAAAACAUGAGUACAUAAUCUAAACUAACAUCGAUUAUUAAAAGCAAAAAGCUUAGAGCCUACAAACAUGAGUACAAGAUCUAAGCAAACAUGGAUUAUUAAAAGCAAGUAAGAACUGGCUUCACAAAGAGUAGGUGAGCAGUACAAGCUAGCGAUCGAUCCUACCAAGAUAGAAAUCUUACAUCUCUUAACGCGAUAAGGCCAACAUAACGAGGAGAGCCAUGACCAAAACAGGAAUAAAGAGAAAUAUCAUAGGCGGUGGUGGCAAUGGCGGCACUACCAGCGGCAACCAUAGAAGUAAAAACGUGCAUAUAGACAUUACCCCAAAGGCAAAAUACUUGUCCAUCAAAUUUGCAAAGAAGUAGCUUGUCGUUGAUUUAAUUAGCUCACGUGUGAGGGUUUCAUCUUUAUAUAGAACAUAGAUCUUAUGAUUGGAUAAUAGUGUUAAAGAAAUUAUCCCACGUCGAUUUAAAAUAGUUAGGUUAGUUAUACAUGUUUGAGGUGUAUAGAAC
This 599-nucleotide long non-coding RNA is filed under the name Citrus maxima (pomelo). Its description in RNAcentral is "long non-coding RNA (CMAX_LNC000010)". The record is from RNAcentral. Lineage: Eukaryota; Viridiplantae; Streptophyta; Magnoliopsida; Sapindales; Rutaceae.